GGCGAAUCCAAUGCCUGCUUUAAUUAGUAUUGUUGCCUUCCUAAAAUCUUAGCCCCUACACAACAGAUCCUCCUUCUCAGGGCCCUCUCAUUUCCUCUCACACAACACACUUACAGGAUUUCAUUGUUGUCCCUGUAAAGAUUUGCUCAAGUUUUGAGUUGGUGGCAGAAUGGAGACUCAGAAGAGUGAUACUGAUAACAAGGUAGAUGAUUAUGAAGUGUUAGAACAGUUGGGAAAAAGAACUUUUGGAACUGCAUUUCUUGUUCUCCAUCGAACUGAGAAGAAGAAAUAUGUUCUGAAGAAGAUUCCAUUAGCAAAACAAACAGAAAAGUCCAAGCGCAC
This 342-nucleotide unclassified non-coding RNA is filed under the name Hevea brasiliensis (rubber tree). The record is from RNAcentral. Lineage: Eukaryota; Viridiplantae; Streptophyta; Magnoliopsida; Malpighiales; Euphorbiaceae.